GGACUACAGGGGUAUCUAAUCCCGUUCGCUACCCACGCUUUCGUGUUUCAGCGUCAGGAGCGCGCCAGUAAGGUGCCUUCGCAUUUGGUGUUCCCCAUGAUAUCAACGGAUUUCACCCCUACACCAUGAGUUCCCCUUACCUCUCGCGUCCUCGUAGCUGUGCCGUAUCUGUCGCACUUCCUGGGUUGAGCCCUGGAGCUUUAACGACAGACUAACAAUGCCGCCUACACACCCUUUACGCCCAGUGAUUCCGGAUAAUGCUCGGGGCCUCUGUAUUACCGCGGCUGCUGGCAC
RNAcentral lists this ribosomal RNA (294 nucleotides) under uncultured bacterium. Its description in RNAcentral is "partial 16S ribosomal RNA". The record is from RNAcentral.